This 485-nucleotide ribosomal RNA is filed under the name uncultured bacterium. RNAcentral's name for it is "partial 16S ribosomal RNA". It matches the Rfam family "Bacterial small subunit ribosomal RNA", at positions 28 to 507 of the family's 1533-position model. The record is from RNAcentral.
GAUGAACGCUGGCGGCGUGCUUAACACAUGCAAGUCGAACGGGAUCCAAGGGGUGCUUGCACUUUUUGGUGAGAGUGGCGAACGGGUGAGUAACACGUGAGUAACCUGUCCUUUUCUUUGGGAUAAGCAUUCGAAAGGGUGUUUAAUACCUUAUGUUCUGUCUGCCUCGCAUGGGGUGGGUGGGAAAGGCUUUGGCCGGAUUUGGGUGGGCUCGCGGUCUAUCAGCUUGUUGGUGGGGUGAUGGCUUACCAAGGCUUUGACGGGUAGCCGGCCUGAGAGGGGGGUCGGUCACAUUGGGACUGAGAUACGGCCCAGACUCCUGCGGGAGGCAGCAGUGGGGGAUAUUGCACAAUGGGCGAAAGCCUGAUGCAGCGACGCCGCGUGGGGGAUGAAGGCCUUCGGGUUGUAAACUUCUUUUGCUCUGAACAAGGCAUGCCAGUGGGUGUGUUGAGUGUAGGGGUGGAUUAGCGCCGGCUAACUACGUG